GGUUGUGAGGGAGAUCUGUCUGAGACAUCUGUCACCCCAUUGAUCGCCGCUGUUGAUUUGGCUAAUCUGGCUGGCUAGGCGGGUGUCCUCUCCCUCACUGCUUCUUGUGUGUCCUGAAGCUGUACUCUUGAUCAAAGAGGAUGACCAUUCCCACUAGAGGAAGACCAUUCUUUGGUCAAGGGUAUAUGAGUAGCUGUACUCUUCUGCUAGAACCUCCAAACAAGCUCUCAAGGUCCAUCUGUAGGAGAACAUAAGCUAGUCAAGCUUCUAAGACUCCAGACACAUCCAAAUGAGACUCUACUUGUGGCAGUCUGCCUUU
Molecule: small nuclear RNA, 319 nt
Filed under: Carlito syrichta (Philippine tarsier)
Lineage: Eukaryota; Metazoa; Chordata; Mammalia; Primates; Tarsiidae
Description: 7SK RNA (ENSTSYG00000026211.1)
Rfam family: 7SK RNA
About the family: 7SK was discovered as an abundant small nuclear RNA in the mid-70s but a possible function has only recently been suggested. Two independent studies have found that 7SK RNA binds the CDK9/cyclin T complex (known as elongation factor P-TEFb). P-TEFb activates transcription by phosphorylating the C-terminal domain of RNA polymerase II.
Source: Rfam by way of RNAcentral